RNAcentral lists this ribosomal RNA (352 nucleotides) under uncultured Streptococcus sp. RNAcentral describes it as "bacterial SSU rRNA". It matches the Rfam family "Bacterial small subunit ribosomal RNA", at positions 1027 to 1382 of the family's 1533-position model. Lineage: Bacteria; Bacillati; Bacillota; Bacilli; Lactobacillales; Streptococcaceae. The record is from RNAcentral.
AUCGGUGACAGGUGUGCAUGGUUGUCGUCAGCUCGUGUCGUGAGAUGUUGGGUUAAGUCCCGCAACGAGCGCAACCCCUAUUGUUAGUUGCCAUCAUUCAGUUGGGCACUCUAGCGAGACUGCCGAUAAUAAACCGGAGAAGUGGGGAUGACGUCAAAUCAUCAUGCCCCUUACGACCUGGGCUACACACGUGCUACGAUGGUUGGUACAACGAGUUGCGAGUCGGUGACGGCGAGCUAAUCUCUUAAAGCCAAUCUCAGUUCGGAUUGUAGGCUGCAACUCGCCUACAUGAAGUCGGAAUCGCUAGUAAUCGCGGAUCAGCACGCCGCGGUCGAAUACGUUCCCGGGCCUU